CUGCUGGACCCAGCCCUGAUAUUGUAGCAGAGGACGUAUCUGAGAAUUAUGAUGAUGUCAUUACUGAUGAUCAGAACGCUGCUGUUGUGACAGAGGAGAUGACAGAGAACUCUGAUGAUGUUAUUACCACUGGACCAAACCCAAACAUUA
Molecule: non-coding RNA, 150 nt
Organism: Electrophorus electricus (electric eel)
Lineage: Eukaryota; Metazoa; Chordata; Actinopteri; Gymnotiformes; Gymnotidae
Source: RefSeq, a predicted model, not a curated record